This 252-nucleotide ribosomal RNA is filed under the name uncultured Bacteroidales bacterium. RNAcentral describes it as "partial 16S ribosomal RNA". It matches the Rfam family "Bacterial small subunit ribosomal RNA", at positions 524 to 776 of the family's 1533-position model. Lineage: Bacteria; Pseudomonadati; Bacteroidota; Bacteroidia; Bacteroidales. The record is from RNAcentral.
UACGGAGGAUGCGAGCGUUAUCCGGAUUUAUUGGGUUUAAAGGGUGCGUAGGCGGGCUGUUAAGUCAGCGGUCAAAUGUCGGGGCUCAACCCCGGCCGGCCGUUGAAACUGGCGUGCUCGAGUUGGAGAGAAGUAUGCGGAAUUCGUGGUGUAGCGGUGAAAUGCAUAGAUAUCACGAAGAACUCCGAUUGCGAAGGCAGCAUACCGGCGCUCAACUGACGCUCAUGCACGAAAGUGUGGGUAUCGAACAGG